CAGUGAGGGAAUAUUGGACAAUGGCGGGAAGCUUGAUCCAGCCAUGCCGGCGUGCAGAAUGACGGGCCCUAUGGGUUGUAAACUGCUUUUAUACGGGAAAGAAAACGCACCUACGUGUAGGUGUCUGACGGUACCGUAAGAAUAAGGACCGGCUAACUCCGUGCCAGCAGCCGCGGUAAUACGGAGGGUCCGAGCGUUAUCCGGAAUCAUUGGGUUUAAAGGGUCCGUAGGCGGGCCUGUAAGUCAGGGGUAAAAGUUUGUGGCUCAACCAUAAAAUUGCCUUUGAUACUGCAGGUCUUGAGUCAUGGUGGGGUCGCCGGAACAUGUGGUGUAGCGGUGAAAUGCAUAGAUAUCACAUAGAACACCGAUCGCGAAGGCAGGUGACCAACCAUGUACUGACGCUGAUGGACGAAAGCGUGGGUAGCGAACGGGAUUAGAUACCCCGGUAGUCCACGCCGUAAACGAUGGAUACUAGCUGUGGGGACUUCGGUCUCCGUGGCCAAGCGAAAGUGAUAAGUAUCCCACCUGGGGAGUACGUUCGCAAGAAUGAAACUCAAAGGAAUUGACGGGGGCCCGCACAAGCGGUGGAGCAUGUGGUUUAAUUCGAUGAUACGCGAGGAACCUUACCAGGGCUUAAAUGCAGGCUGCAUGGGGUGGAGACACCCCUUUCUUCGGACUGCCUGCAAGGUGCUGCAUGGUUGUCGUCAGCUCGUGCCGU
RNAcentral lists this ribosomal RNA (718 nucleotides) under Allomuricauda sp. LSc-7. RNAcentral describes it as "bacterial SSU rRNA". It matches the Rfam family "Bacterial small subunit ribosomal RNA", at positions 352 to 1068 of the family's 1533-position model. Lineage: Bacteria; Pseudomonadati; Bacteroidota; Flavobacteriia; Flavobacteriales; Flavobacteriaceae. The record is from RNAcentral.